This is a long non-coding RNA of Megalobrama amblycephala (Wuchang bream), 969 nucleotides long. RefSeq lists it as uncharacterized. The transcript has 4 exons. NCBI's taxonomy places the organism in Eukaryota, Metazoa, Chordata, Actinopteri, Cypriniformes, Xenocyprididae. The record is from RefSeq and is a predicted model, not a curated record.
UAAUAAUUAUUCUGAACUGCCUCGCUUUAUUUGACCUUUAAAGGCCAGCUGCUCUGCUGGAAGUAGUCAACAUCUGCAUUGACCUAGAUGACCGAUGCCGGGGGUUUUUUCGGUUCAUCGGCUAAGAAAAAUCCCGGAGUGGAUCUCGUUCCAUCAGACAGUCACCAAUAUGAGUACCAGAUGGUGAGGUGAAAACCUGAUCCACUGACUUUUGGCUCUGGAUGCAGUAUAGAGGACCAGAGGAAGAUGAAGGCAACUUUGAUGUCUCAUUCAGCCGUCCGUUUGAUGUCACUCCGUUAUCCAGGAGCAUAGAUGGAUCCGCUGCUGAUCACAUGCCUGAUGUAACAAGUUACAUACUUUGAAGAGACUUGCAUUGCAAUGCAGCAGAUCCAAUUAAUCCCCAGGGAGAAGCUACGAGAGAAGCUGCCGCCGACACAAAGAUGAAGCUGGUUUUACCUCAGAUCAUGGCAAACUGAAACAUUUGUCUCCUGAGCACCAGUCGUCUUCCCUAGUGUGAAACCUCCUCUCUCGUGUUCUUCUGCCGAGCCGGUUUCAUCCUGGGCGACAGAAUCUGCUUCGACAGAUGAAGGCUUUUAAACGCUGCUGAAAAAUGAGUCACACGGCAGGUGUUUGCUGUUUGUUUUCAAUUCCCAUUAGUCACUUCAGGUAAGAGUCCUUUCUCCAGUCGGCGUGGAGAGAUGGCAGUACCGCGCCGGAGACUUAUGCAUCUGAUGUGCAACUCAAAUAAAGGCGUUUGAAAGAUGUUUUCAACAAAAAUAGAAAAUAGUUUUGUGCUUUCCUUCAGGUCAUACUCACUUUAUUUGGAAUUAGAUAAUAGUUGUUAACAAAACGAGAUGCCUCUUAAUUAAAAAGUACAGUCAAGGACAGUUGCGUACCAAUAAGUUGCUAGCAUUCCUGUUUUUUAUUUUUAUUGUUUUAUUUCAUUUAAUUUCAUUUUAUAAAAUGUUA